This 254-nucleotide ribosomal RNA is filed under the name uncultured bacterium. RNAcentral's name for it is "partial 16S ribosomal RNA". It matches the Rfam family "Bacterial small subunit ribosomal RNA", at positions 524 to 776 of the family's 1533-position model. The record is from RNAcentral.
UACGGAGGGGGCUAGCGUUGUUCGGAAUUACUGGGCGUAAAGGGCGCGCAGGCGGCUGCUCAAGUCAGGCGUGAAAGGCCUGGGCUCAACCCGGGAAUUGCGCUUGAGACUGGGCUGGCUUGAGUGCGGGAGAGGAUGGUGGAAUUCCCAGUGUGGAGGUGAAAUUCGUAGAUAUUGGGAAGAACACCGGUGGCGAAGGCGGCCAUCUGGACCGCAACUGACGCUGAGGAGCGAAAGCCAGGGGAGCAAACGGG